RNAcentral lists this ribosomal RNA (253 nucleotides) under uncultured bacterium. RNAcentral's name for it is "partial 16S ribosomal RNA". It matches the Rfam family "Bacterial small subunit ribosomal RNA", at positions 524 to 776 of the family's 1533-position model. The record is from RNAcentral.
UACGGAGGGGGCUAGCGUUGUUCGGAAUUACUGGGCGUAAAGCGCACGUAGGCGGCUUUGUAAGUUAGAGGUGAAAGCCCAGGGCUCAACCCUGGAAUUGCCUUUAAGACUGCAUCGCUAGAAUCCAGGAGAGGUGAGUGGAAUUCCGAGUGUAGAGGUGAAAUUCGUAGAUAUUCGGAAGAACACCAGUGGCGAAGGCGGCUCACUGGACUGGUAUUGACGCUGAGGUGCGAAAGCGUGGGGAGCAAACAGG